GGAGAGGUGGCUCAGAGGUUAAGAGCACUGACUAUUCUUCCAGAGGUCCUGAGUUCAAUUCCCAGCAACUACA
RNAcentral lists this transfer RNA (73 nucleotides) under Neotoma lepida (desert woodrat). It matches the Rfam family "tRNA". Rfam says of the family: Transfer RNA (tRNA) molecules are approximately 80 nucleotides in length. Lineage: Eukaryota; Metazoa; Chordata; Mammalia; Rodentia; Cricetidae. The record is from Rfam by way of RNAcentral.